RNAcentral lists this long non-coding RNA (226 nucleotides) under Malus domestica (apple). Its description in RNAcentral is "long non-coding RNA (MDOM_LNC001256)". The record is from RNAcentral. Lineage: Eukaryota; Viridiplantae; Streptophyta; Magnoliopsida; Rosales; Rosaceae.
UUCAUGAAAUGCAACACGCAUUGGGAUUCUCAUCACUGAACAGCUGAGGAGGUGGGAUUCUCUCAAUCACGAAAAGAGGUUGAUAAUAGUACUGCAUCAUUCUUUUCAUCUGUUCCUCAUCCAUGCCACUAUUUACGUAACUGCCACUCAUCAUCUCUCCCACCUUCUUCCCCUCUUCUUUGUUCUCCUGGCCACCUUUCUCCUCCUCCUUAUUAUUACUUUCUCC